Molecule: ribosomal RNA, 411 nt
Filed under: uncultured Veillonellaceae bacterium
Lineage: Bacteria; Bacillati; Bacillota; Negativicutes; Veillonellales; Veillonellaceae
Description: bacterial SSU rRNA
Rfam family: Bacterial small subunit ribosomal RNA
Source: RNAcentral
CCUACGGGGGGCAGCAGUGGGGAAUAUUGGACAAUGGGCGAAAGCCUGAUCCAGCAAUGCCGCGUGAGUGAUGAAGGCCUUAGGGUUGUAAAGCUCUUUUACCCGGGAUGAUAAUGACAGUACCGGGAGAAUAAGCCCCGGCUAACUCCGUGCCAGCAGCCGCGGUAAUACGGAGGGGGCUAGCGUUGUUCGGAAAUACUGGGCGUAAAGCGCACGUAGGCGGCUUGGCAAGUCAGGGGUGAAAUCCCGGAGCUCAACUCCGGAACUGCCUUUGAAACUGCUUGGCUUGAAUCCUGGAGAGGCGAGUGGAAUUCCGAGUGUAGAGGUGAAAUUCGUAGAUAUUCGGAAGAACACCAGUGGCGAAGGCGACUCGCUGGACAGGUAUUGACGCUGAGGUGCGAAAGCGUGGGG